AGAGAAUAUAGAGCGUGUCAGAAUCCUUUCAGAUUCAUCAUUUCAAUAUUUCCUUCUGCUACAAUGGUUUAAUUAGAGGAGUCUUCUUUUGGGGAGUAAUUGGUAGGUGAUAUAAAUAGUGUAGUUUCUAGGAGCUGAACAUUUUGUCAAUAAAAGUCAAGGCAUGAUAAAAGUAGAUAAGGAGGAUAGCGGGAAUUCCAAAAACGGCUCCAGUUAGCUCAGAGGCAUUGUCCUUCUGAUAUAGCUAAACCAAGACCAAGCUGACUUUCCUGACGUUGCCUUGGCACAGAGACAAAACUUACUUGCAUUUGUCUUUAGCUGCCUGUGGAGAGGUACUGUAUUGUAUUGUGACUAUGCUUUGCAAAGGAAAACAGAUUUUCCUUGGCUAUAUGGAGUUUCACAUGAG
RNAcentral lists this long non-coding RNA (406 nucleotides) under Anser brachyrhynchus (Pink-footed goose). Its description in RNAcentral is "lncRNA (ENSABRG00000020275.1)". Lineage: Eukaryota; Metazoa; Chordata; Aves; Anseriformes; Anatidae. The record is from RNAcentral.